This 99-nucleotide transfer RNA is filed under the name Xylaria sp. FL1777. Its description in RNAcentral is "tRNA-Ser". It matches the Rfam family "tRNA". From Rfam's summary of the family: Transfer RNA (tRNA) molecules are approximately 80 nucleotides in length. Their secondary structure includes four short double-helical elements and three loops (D, anti-codon, and T loops). Further hydrogen bonds mediate the characteristic L-shaped molecular structure. tRNAs have two regions of fundamental functional importance: the anti-codon, which is responsible for specific mRNA codon recognition, and the 3' end, to which the tRNAs corresponding amino acid is attached (by aminoacyl-tRNA synthetases). tRNAs cope with the degeneracy of the genetic code in two manners: having more than one tRNA (with a specific anti-codon) for a particular amino acid; and 'wobble' base-pairing, i.e. permitting non-standard base-pairing at the 3rd anti-codon position. The record is from RNAcentral. Lineage: Eukaryota; Fungi; Ascomycota; Sordariomycetes; Xylariales; Xylariaceae.
GGCAUGUUGCCAGAGUGGUUAAUGGGUGAGACUUGAAUUCGUUCCGAAUUAAGCCAUCUCAUGACUUCGGUCGCGUAGGUUCAAAUCCUGCACAUGUCG